ACGAACGCUGGCGGCGUGCUUAACACAUGCAAGUCGAACGGAAAGGCCCUGCUUUUGUGGGGUGCUCGAGUGGCGAACGGGUGAGUAACACGUGAGUAACCUGCCCUUGACUUUGGGAUAACUUCAGGAAACUGGGGCUAAUACCGGAUAGGAGCUCCUGCUGCAUGGUGGGGGUUGGAAAGUUUCGGCGGCUGGGGAUGGACUCGCGGCUUAUCAGCUUGUUGGUGGGGUAGUGGCUUACCAAGGCUUUGACGGGUAGCCGGCCUGAGAGGGUGACCGGCCACAUUGGGACUGAGAUACGGCCCAGACUCCUACGGGAGGCAGCAGUGGGGAAUAUUGCACGAUGGGCGGAAGCCUGAUGCAGCAACGCCGCGUGCGGGAUGACGGCCUUCGGGUUGUAAACCGCUUUCGCCUGUGACGAAGCGUGAGUGACGGUAAUGGGUAAAGAAGCACCGGCUAACUACGUG
RNAcentral lists this ribosomal RNA (467 nucleotides) under uncultured bacterium. RNAcentral describes it as "partial 16S ribosomal RNA". It matches the Rfam family "Bacterial small subunit ribosomal RNA", at positions 29 to 507 of the family's 1533-position model. The record is from RNAcentral.